RNAcentral lists this ribosomal RNA (1263 nucleotides) under Phytophthora pluvialis. Its description in RNAcentral is "eukaryotic LSU rRNA". It matches the Rfam family "Eukaryotic large subunit ribosomal RNA", at positions 65 to 1118 of the family's 3401-position model. The record is from RNAcentral. Lineage: Eukaryota; Oomycota; Peronosporomycetes; Peronosporales; Peronosporaceae.
CUAACAAGGAUUCCCCUAGUAACGGCGAGUGAAGCGGGAAGAGCUCAAGCUUAAAAUCUCCGUGCAAGUUUUGCACGGCGAAUUGUAGUCUAUAGAGGCGUGGUCAGCGUGGGCGCUUGGGGCAAGUUCCUUGGAAGAGGACAGCAUGGAGGGUGAUACUCCCGUUCAUCCCUGAGUUGCUCGUGCGUACGACCCGUUUUCUUUGAGUCGCGUUGUUUGGGAAUGCAGCGCAAAGUAGGUGGUAAAUUCCAUCUAAAGCUAAAUAUUGGUGCGAGACCGAUAGCGAACAAGUACCGUGAGGGAAAGAUGAAAAGAACUUUGAAAAGAGAGUUAAAGAGUACCUGAAACUGCUGAAAGGGAACCGAAUCGUUUCCAGUGUCUAUAAUCCGUGGCAUAUUUCAUUGGCGAGUGUGCGCGUGCGUGUGCUGUGGCAGCGGUCUUUAUGGCUGCGCUCGGCGUGUGUGCUGUGUGUGCUUGCUGGUGCCCUGUGCUGCGGUGGGACGUCAAGGUCAGUUCGUAUGCUGCGGGAAAUGGCUGCCGAGGAGGUAGGGCUUACGCUCCGCGUUUGUCUGUUAUAUCUUGGUGGACGAGUCGUCGCGGUUGGGACUGAGGUGCCUACAACGUGCUUUUGAGUGGGUUUGUGUCUCCGUGUGCGCCGUGUGCGGAUAGCUUGCUAUGCGUGUGUGGUUGUGUGUGGAUUGAUGCGGGCCUUAACUUGUUGCCGUUCGGGACGUUGACGAAAUGGAGCGAUCCGACCCGUCUUGAAACACGGACCAAGGAGUCUAACAUGUGUGCAAGUGUUAGGGUGUGGAAACCCCAGCGCGAAAUGAAAGUGAAGGGCAGCGCAAGUUGUCUGAGGUAGGAAACGUUGCGGGCUUCGGUCUGCGGCGUGGCACUAUCGACCGAUCAUGAACCUUCGUGGUGAAAGAUUUGAGUUUGAGCACAUAUGUUGGUACCCGAAAGAUGGUGAACUAUGCCUGAGUAGGGUGAAGCCAGGGGAAACUCUGGUGGAAGCUCGUAGCGAUUCUGACGUGCAAAUCGAUCGUCAAACUUGGGUAUAGGGGCGAAAGACUAAUCGAACCAUCUAGUAGCUGGUUCCCUCCGAAAUUUCCCUCAGGAUAGCAGCAACUUAUUUACGAUAGUUUUAUGAGGUAAAGCGAAUGAUUAGAGGAUUCGGGGAAGAAACUUCCUCGACCUAUUCUCAAACUUUAAAUCUGUAAGACCUGCAGGUUUCUUAAUUGAACUUGUGGAUGUGAAUAUCAA